CAGCCGCCGCGGUAAUACGAACCGUGCGAACGUUAUUCGGAAUCACUGGGCUUAAAGCGCGUGUAGGCGGGCCGCCACGUCGGCUGCUGAAAUCCCCCGGCUCAACCGGGGAAGUGGCACCGAUACGAGCGGCCUGGAGGGGGGUAGGGGGGACUGGAACUUCCGGUGGAGCGGUGAAAUGCGUUGAGAUCGGAAGGAACGCCCGUGGCGAAAGCGAGUCCCUGGACCCUUACUGACGCUGAGACGCGAAAGCCAGGGGAGCGAACGGGAUUAGAUACCCCGGUAGUCCCUGUCUCUUAUA
This 301-nucleotide ribosomal RNA is filed under the name uncultured bacterium. Its description in RNAcentral is "partial 16S ribosomal RNA". It matches the Rfam family "Bacterial small subunit ribosomal RNA", at positions 509 to 807 of the family's 1533-position model. The record is from RNAcentral.